Molecule: long non-coding RNA, 1673 nt
Organism: Astatotilapia calliptera (eastern happy)
Lineage: Eukaryota; Metazoa; Chordata; Actinopteri; Cichliformes; Cichlidae
Source: Ensembl
GAUCAUCCCAGAUACACCCCAUGAUGGCCGUGUCAUCUGCAAACUUCUGAAUAUGGCAUAAUUCAGAGUUGUAGCAGAAGUCAGAGGUGUACAGGGUGAAGAGAAGAGGGGACAGCACAGUUCCCUGUGGUGCUCCUGUGCUGCUGACCCUGUCGGAGACCACAGCUGUAGCUGAGUGCAGAAUCUCCACCCACCUACUGUUCAAACUACCUGAAAGACAUCAAAUCAAAAGCCUUAAACGAAGCAAGGAGGAGAGAGAAAAAGGCUCAUUUCAGGCAGCGAAUGAACUGAGAGUUUGCACCAAGUAUGGUGUAAAUAAUGAAUGUUUUUAAACUUCAAUGCAAAGAAAAUCUGGUGGUGUCUAUGCAUAAAAAUGUGCAACAGGAAAUGAGCAUAAUAGGUUCUCUAGAAACAUUCCAGCUCUAUAGUGACAAAGUCUGUGAGAAAGGGAUCAUUUCAGGGAAUUCACAAAGUUAUUGUCAUGUGUCAUGGGCGCUGUCGCCGGGCGUCACUCCUUCCCGAAACCGGAUGAGUGUUUCCAGGUGGGCGAUUCAGGGAUGUGAUUGUUCCGACACUGUCUGGCCUUCAUGUGAGAUAAUAGUUUUUGACUCUAUAGCUCAUGUUGCCUUUGACUUGAUGUUUUUUUGUUUUGUUUUGUUUUUUUAGAAACUUCACAGAGAGGCUGUCCAUUAAAAAUUACACAGCACAGUAAUGGGGUGACCUUUAUAGCCAAGCAACAUUUUUCUUUUGAUCUUGUCCUGCUAGCGGUCUGACGAUACUUAAACUGAAUAGUUUUAGUACACACUGGACAGGAAUCCCUGCUCUCUGUACUCAGCUACCAUCAAGAAGUCUUCAAAUUGACUUCUCUAGGAGCAGAUUUGCAUGCAGACCAACAGUAGCUACUUAAAACAAGCAUUACUCUUUAAGCUGCAGUUGAGGAAGUCUGCUGCUUCUCUUCUUCUAAACUACACACAUUCCCUCUUCCUAAUGACCCUGACAGAGACAAUUACAGUAGACCUACAGGGAAUAAGCAGGCAAGAUUUCCAUUUAGAUUUGAGACUUAGGCUUUCUGAAUAGCUCGUACACAGGGGACUGUAUGUGUUUGUGAGAAAUUACAGCUCCAUCAAAGAGUAACAGAUAAUGCAGCCAUGAGAGCGUUUUAGUUGCUUAUUGAGAGCAUAGAUCCAAGUUUUCUCUCGUCAUACUUGACUCUUCUCACUUGCUUUCUGUGGCAAAUUUCUUUUUUUCUAGACGCUUGGACCAAUAAACGAGAAUAAAUCAGCUUCCCUGAAACAUUUUGUUCCGUGUUGACUUCUCUCUCUCUCUCUCUCUCCCUGUCUCUCGCUUCGUCUUUGAGUAGCACAAUGAAUCUCCCAGAUGAGGUGCAGUCACAGAAAGCAGCUCUGAGGGAGGUUAUGCCACGUAGAGAGAAUUUGGUCAGUGGAGAGGCUUUUUAUUAAAGCGCUCCGUCUUUUUGGACAGGGUGCAGGUCAGACAGGCUGCCAGACCCGAAUCUCUGUGCUGAUUGUGUUUUAGCCUCAACAUGCAGUCCAGAUUGGGAGCAUUGGAACAGUUGCAUGUUUCAUUCUUCAAACUCGGCGUCUCUCUGCAACAUUCACUUUCAGAUCAAAUAAAAAAUACACUAAAGGGCCAAGUUUCAUCUUUAAGUUCAC